This 406-nucleotide ribosomal RNA is filed under the name uncultured bacterium. Its description in RNAcentral is "partial 16S ribosomal RNA". It matches the Rfam family "Bacterial small subunit ribosomal RNA", at positions 29 to 526 of the family's 1533-position model. The record is from RNAcentral.
AUUGAACGCUGGCGGCAGAAGUAAAAGAGGAAAGUCGAGCGAGCGGCGGACGGGUGAGUAAUGUCUGGGAAACUGCCUGAUGGAGGGGGAUAACUACUGGAAACGGUAGCUAAUACCGCAUACCAUCAGAUGUGCCCAGAUGGGAUUAGCUAGUAGGUGGGGUAAUGGCUCACCAAGGCGACGAUCCCUAGCUGGUCUGAGAGGAUGACCAGCCACACUGGAACUGAGACACGGUCCAGACUCCGACGGGAGGCAGCAGUGGGGAAUAUGGAACAAUGGGCGCAAGCCUGAUGCAGCCAGGCCGAGUGUGUGAAGAAGGCCUUCGGGUUGUAAAGCACUUUAAGCGAGGAGGCGUUACUCGCAGAAGAAGCACCGGCUAACUCCGUGCCCGCAGCCGCGGUAAUAC